GUAAUGAACCAAUGCGGCUCCUGCAGGUGAAGAUCUGCACAGACGUUGUCAUCAAUCACACAUGUGCAUCGGGCUGAGGGGAAAGAAGGCACUCGACCUGCGGCUCGUACUUCAAUGCCACCCGUGAGGAGUUCCCAUCUGUGAGAUACUCUGCCACUGACUUCAAUGAUGACAAAUGCACCGGCCGCCGUGGAAAUAUUGAGAAUUACCAAGACAUUUAUCAGAGCCGCCUGAUUCUGUUUGCUGCUGGAUGUACUACAAAGCUGAGAAGAGUGUGUUUGCGUGCACAAUCUGAGAGUGUUUCACCGUCUCUGGAGAGUCUGCCUUUCUCCAGCUCUCUCCUGGAGAUGAACUCAGACGGGAUGUCCUCAUCUUCCUCCUGCUCUUCCUCCUGUCUGGGGACAUGAGCGCUUGGGUAGAUCUUUCCAAAACCUUCUGUGGCUUCCUGAGCAUAAACCUCCAUCUCUGGCAUGUCUAGAAAAAAGUUGCAUAAAAAAAAAACAAUUAGAGCGUGUUUUGAGCUGUCACGGUGCUCAGUUUCAAUCUGUCACAGAUAAGCCGCCUGUUGCAGAUUACAGUGAUGACAAGUGAAGUCAUGUGAGUUUUUGUGUGAACACCUAUCAAAA
This is a long non-coding RNA of Danio aesculapii, 626 nucleotides long. RefSeq lists it as uncharacterized. The transcript has 2 exons. Lineage: Eukaryota; Metazoa; Chordata; Actinopteri; Cypriniformes; Danionidae. The record is from RefSeq and is a predicted model, not a curated record.